AUGCUAUUUCAUCUAGUUUUGGUUGUUGAAGGGCACAACCUGCCGUUUCAAAACCUUUUAAAAUACACUGACUUUGCCCCAUGGAUUCAAUGUUAUCUACGGUUCCUUAAAUGCACACCUUCUGYCCACGCGCCCUGGAUGUAUUCAGCCUUCACGGCCUCACCUUCAAACUGCUCCUGUCCCACCUCUGGGGUGGAGGAUUCCAUCCUGCUGUGCCCACGCCGAGGUCCCCUCUCUGCUGGUGUGCACUUGGCUUUUGUCUCAUCUCCAGAGCAUAUGCACAGUUGAUGYAAUUUCUGUAACUUCAAAUAUCACAUGAAAUAUCACAUGCGAUAAAAACAUGAGAAACAGACUAGGAGACACACAGCUCAGUAAUUGCUGCCGGGGAGGGUGCAAGAAUAACGAGAUGGGAGAGAGGAGGAGACGGUUUUAAAUGUAUGCAGAGUGUUCUUCACACAAAAUAGUCUGAAGCAAACAAUCAAAAAGCUAAUUAGCUUAAUUAAUCCUUGCUUUUUUKCUAUUUGCCAGUGUGUUCUUCUCAGGCUAUUUUUUCAUUCAGCAAAAUCACGCAUCUCCAAAGCCGCCUGGUGGGUGAGUUUAAUGGUGGGACCUGGUGGUGGGCUGGAGACAGGGGGCCUUUGGCAGGAAGUCCUUCCGUGGCAUGGUGGGGGGUGUGGGGGGGAGUGAGGGAGCUCGGGGUGAGGGGCAUAGGAGCAGCGCGCGGAGGCCUUGGCAUGGACGCGGCUCUGGUCCCCUUAGAUGCUGCAGCAGGUGGUGAGGGUGGCUUCUCUCGACCUCGUGGUUUCUUGGGAUGUACCUCUUAAUGUCCUUGCCACACAGGCCCAGCGAGCAGCUAAUGUGAUGGACAUGCCGGUCAGCAGGGUCAGCCCUCUCACAGCACGGGCCUGUGUCGUCUUGGACACUGCAGAUGCCUACGGGUCCAUUUGUCAAUUUUACCUUGGUAAAGCCUGCGGAGGGGGAAAGAGAAACAGGAUGGAUCAGGAGCCUU
Molecule: long non-coding RNA, 1009 nt
Filed under: Urocitellus parryii (Arctic ground squirrel)
Lineage: Eukaryota; Metazoa; Chordata; Mammalia; Rodentia; Sciuridae
Description: lncRNA (ENSUPAG00010012053.1)
Source: RNAcentral